CUACUUAGGCCGUAUGUCUUCCUUCAUGUUCUUGGGGAUCUUUGCAGCAUCCCCAGAGAGCAGGCUGGGCUAGGGUCUGAAGGGACCAGGUCUCCCUCCAGUAAGUGCCUCCUGGCCUCCCAGAAAGGGCAAGACAGAAGGCUCUUAAGGAAUCCCCAACUCCUGUCCCCAGGGUGUCUUCAUUUCUCGGGUGUCUGAGGAGGGCCCUGCGGCCCGGGCUGGAGUCCGAGUGGGCGACAAACUCCUUGAGGUGAGUAGUGACUGCUGGCCAGUGACACCUGUGCUCUGGGGUGCCAUCUGGGCUGUUGGGGUAUUUAGUUGUGCCUAUCGGAUGGGGGCACUGUCUACCCUCUCCAGAAGCCCUGAGCCCCAGACCCCAGGACUCCCCCAAACCCUCUUUGGGCAGGAUGUGUAGUGCAGGCACCUAAAACCCCAGAAUCGGGAGGGCUGGGAAAGGGGUCAGACCCCAGCAGGUUGUGGGGCUCAGAUCCUUGUGAGAGACUUGGCACCCCCACCAGGGCACCUGGCUGUUGGAUAUAGGCUGUGCCCUUCCUGUGGGGACAAGGGUGAGGGCCCUGAGGGUAUCAGAAGAGGCUGGUGCUCCUCCUGCUCUCCUGCUCAGCUCUCUUCCCAGCCUCUCUUGGGGGCUCCUGUCCAAGGUGGCGUGUGAGUGUGGGGUCGGUGACCUGGUAAUCCUGGGCAUUCUCUGGGGCUGCUCAGACAGACCCAGAUGGUAGGUUUCCAGAAGCAAGGUGAGUGGUGUGGACUGUUCCAGGGGCAGAUGCCUGUGCUCUGGGAACCGCCAUAGGUGGGGACGAAGCCCAUCAGGAGCUCUGGGUACCCCCUCUCCCUGCCCUUCCCAUCCAUGGAGGGAAGCGUGGGCAGAGGCCACACGAGCCGUUGUCAUGGCGUCAGUGCUCAGGUGUCGGGGUGGCCGCAGCUGGGUGCUGACGUGUGCCGGGCCUCCCACACCUACAGGUGAACGGCGUGGCUUUGCAGGACGCUGAGCACCAUGAGGCUGUGGAGGCCCUCCGAGGGGCAGGCACAGCCGUGCAGAUGCGUGUGUGGCGGGAACGCAUGGUAGAACCUGAGAACGCAGUCACCAUCACACCCCUGCGGCCCGAGGACGACUACAGCCCCCGAGAGCGG
Molecule: long non-coding RNA, 1149 nt
Filed under: Marmota monax (woodchuck)
Lineage: Eukaryota; Metazoa; Chordata; Mammalia; Rodentia; Sciuridae
Source: RNAcentral